AACGAACGCUGGCGGCGUGCUUAACACAUGCAAGUCGAACGCGAAAGGGACUUCGGUCCUGAGUAAAGUGGCGCACGGGUGAGUAACGCGUAGAUAACCUGUCUUUAUGUCUGGAAUAAUACGCCGAAAGGGGUACUAAUACCGGAUAUUUUUGCAUUGCACAAGUGAUGUAAGCAAAGGUGGCCUCUGACAUAAGCUACUGCAUAAAGAGGGGUCUGCGUACCAUUAGCUAGUAGGUGGGGUAAAGGCCUACCUAGGCUACGAUGGUUAGCGGGUCUGAGAGGAUGAUCCGCCACACUGGCACUGGAACACGGGCCAGACUCCUACGGGAGGCAGCAGUGAGGAAUAUUGCGCAAUGGGGGCAACCCUGACGCAGCGACGCCGCGUGAGUGAGGAAGGCCUUCGGGUCGUAAAGCUCUGUCAAAGGGAAAGAAGUGCAUGGAGGUUAAUACCCUUCAUGUUUGACGGUACCCUUAAAGGAAGCACCGGCUAACUCCGUG
RNAcentral lists this ribosomal RNA (500 nucleotides) under uncultured bacterium. Its description in RNAcentral is "bacterial SSU rRNA". It matches the Rfam family "Bacterial small subunit ribosomal RNA", at positions 29 to 507 of the family's 1533-position model. RNAcentral also lists the same sequence under 1 other name. The record is from RNAcentral.